AUACACAUUUGCAUUCUGAGACUUUGGUCGGGGUGAGUCCCCACACUGUUUGCACAAUUUCUUGGGCUCCUCUGACUAAAGGGCACAGAACUCCCAUUUGGCUGAGUGUCUAGCUGGCCCUCUUCUGAAAAUAUGGCUUUCCCUGCAGGAUUUGGAUGGGGGGCGUCCACUGCAGCUUAUCAAGUGGAAGGAGGCUGGGAUGCAGAUGGAAAAGGCCCUAGUGUCUGGGACACAUUCACCCAUCAGGGAGGAGAGAGAGUUUUCCAGAACCAGACUGGCGAUGUAGCUUGUGGCAGCUACACUCUGUGGGAGGAAGAUUUGAAAUGUAUCAAACAGCUUGGAUUGACUCAUUACCGCUUCUCUCUUUCCUGGUCACGUCUGUUACCUGAUGGGACGACAGGUUUCAUCAACCAGAAAGGAAUAGACUAUUACAACAAGAUCAUUGAUGAUUUGUUAACUAAUGGGGUCAUACCCAUAGUGACACUCUACCACUUUGACUUGCCUCAGGCCUUAGAAGACAAAGGAGGUUGGUUGUCAGAGGCAAUCAUCGAAUCCUUUGACAAAUACGCCCGGUUUUGCUUCAGUAUGUUUGGAGAUCGAGUCAAGCAGUGGAUCACCAUAAAUGAGCCUAAUAUUCUUGCCAUCAUGGCGUAUGAUCUCGGUGUAUUUCCUCCUGGUGUACCUCACUUUGGAACUGGAGGUUAUCAGGCAGCUCAUAAUUUGAUCAAAGCUCACGCCAGAUCCUGGCACAGCUACGAUUCUUUUUUCCGAAAGGAGCAGAAGGGCAUGGUGUCCCUAGGAAUUUUUGCUGGCUGGGCGGAACCAGCAGAUACCAACUCAGUGUCCGACCAGGAAGCUGCUAAAAGAGCCAUUGCUUUCUGCUUGGAUUUCUUUGCUAAACCCAUAUUUAUUGACGGUGAUUAUCCAGAAGUUGUCAAGUCCCAGAUUGCCUUCAUGAGUAAAAAGCAAGGCUAUCCAUCAUCAAGGCUUCCAAAAUUUACAGAAGAAGAGAAGAGAAUGAUUAAAGGCACAGCUGAUUUCUUUGCUGUGCAAUAUUAUACAAGUCGUUUAGUCAAGUACCAGGAGAACAAGAAAGAAGUGGGUUUUCUUCAGGAUGUGGAGCUUCAAGUUUUUCCAGACCCAUCUUGGAAAAGGUUGGAUUGGGUCUAUGUGGUGCCAUGGGGAAUACGUAAACUACUGAAAUAUAUUAAGGAUACGUAUAAUAACCCUGUAAUUUACAUCACUGAGAACGGGUUUCCCCAGGGUGACCCUGCAUCUCUUGAUGACACUCAGCGCUGGGAGUAUUUCAGACAGACAUUUCAGGAACUGUUCAAAGGAUUGUGGGUGGAUCGUCAAUGCAAUGUCACAUUUCUGCGAAAUCCUCAAAAGGAGGCAAAAGCAAGUAUCAUUGAAUAGGUUCCUUGUUAAAGUUGCAUGAAAAGAAAAAGAUUCCAUUGAGCCAAUAGAUGGCAAUGAUUCUGUUAGUGAUAGUGAAAGUCGUCCUACACAGUAACCCUCCUCUCUCUUGUCUCCCUCACACCAGCCACGGAGGUUUUCAAAGGUGAGGCCCAUGGUGAUGGAAGAACAUCAAAUAACCCUUGAAAGCAUCACAGAAGAGUCACUUGUGAACAUCUGACAACUUCAGAAAAAGUCAAUGAUAAAAUCAACAAGAGCAGUCUGAGCUGGAGGAGAGAGAGAAGCUUUCAUUUCAAUUGAAAUAUACUUUUACAUGGAACUACACAUUUUAAUCACUGAAUUGAAGCAAUGUUUUGUGACUCACAGGGACAAGAAAAAACUCUUUGUAUACUGAAGGAUGACAAGAAAAACCAAGAAUCCGGCAGAAGUUCCUGGCAAAACUAGCAGUAUGAGAACAGUUUUAAAGGGACAAAGGAGACAGAGUAGGAUUACUUUGUGAUUGCGAACUGUGAGUUGUGCCUGUACAACAUAAUAGAUACACAAUUAGCAAAUAUUUAUCGAAUGCUACUACAUGCCAGGCACUGCACGGGAUAUAGCAAUGAACAAAGACAAAUCUUUACUGUCUUGGAAAUUAGAUUCUGCAGGGGAAAAUGGAUGACAAACCAAUAAAGAAUUGAUUGCAUAAAUAGUAGGUCUGGGGUGGGGUAAGGGCUAGUAAGAAAACAUGGGAUAAAAUAAAUGAGGAGGGGGAAACACGACAGUGGCCUCUCAAGGAAGUUCUUUUCUGAUUACUUCUAUUUUCUCAGUGCACUUGGAAGUGACUUCUCUGGGGGGAGUGAGGAGGAGGCAGGGGGUGCUGGAAUUUUAAAGGGAAGUUAUGAAAUUCUCACCUAGAAUCAUGGGAGAGAAAACAGAUUGGGAAUGGUAGGAAGAUUGUCAGGCAGGUUCAAAGACCCUCCUGAGGGCCGUAGUAAUGGUUUUGAGUGACGUGGAUGAGCCCCCAUUUGUGUAUGGCUUUUUUUUUUUCCAUCUAAGUUCACGUACCCUGGUGCAGGCACAGAGAAAGUGGAAAAUUAAAUUAAUCAAGGAAUCACGAUGAAGGAAGAGAGAGGAAGGGAUGUUAGCCUAUUUGCAAGGAGCCAUGGAGUCCAAGUUGGGUAUGGAACGAGAUGAGAACAAGAGAAGAGUGAGUGCUGGCAAUGAGGUUUAUAGACCCUGUGGGGUUUAUUAAUGUUGAGUCAGGACACAAGAGUGAGUGAGCUGUACAAAAUGGGGGUGUGGUAUGAAGUGAAGAUACUUAAGAUUGAGAUUAGAUUAUGGUGAUGAAAAAGUUCAGGAAAUGUCUGGAGGACUGGUUGGCUGAUGUUGAGUAGACAGCAUCAUGGAGGGAGGAGAUCAAGAAGCUUCCCACCAAGAGGCCAGAGUGAUAAAAGAAGGGUUCCCAUGGAUAUUACAGCUCGCCAAGAAUCGUGACAGAAUUAAUACUAGAGAGUAAUAAUGAGCCAGGUGCUACAUUUAGUAAGAAAUGAGGAGUGACUAAGGGCUAGGUUAAGAAGGAGGGUGGUACUGGUAGGUAUAGUCUAAUUGAGUUAAGUUCCAAGCUGGUAGUUUCAGCGAAAGAGACAAUGAUCUAGAAAUGACUAGGACGCACAAGGAUGGCACCCUACCUCUAGGUUCAGUGGUAGAAGGGAUAAGGGAAAGAAAGAAACCAUUAGUGAAGAGAGCUUAAGCCACCUAGUGUCUUCGGCACAAAGCUAGAUUCCACUUAGAGUAAGUCAGAGAAACGGAAAGGAAUGGUGAUAAAGGGAGAGUUUUACUGCCAAUGGACCGUACAUUCUAGAAGGAUCAUGGUGAGGAAUGGGAGAUGGAGGUGAGAGCAGACAGUGUGAAGAACUCUAGGGUGAUGAAGGAUGACCUGGGAGUUGGGGCAUCUAGUGUUGACUGACAUCAAUAUGAAAGUCAGAUAAAUUCAAUUCAUCCCGACGUUCUGGUUUAGGCUGAUUAUGUGGUAAGGAUGCUGCACAGGAAGGAGUGGGGGUCUUGCUUGGAUGACUCGGUGCUCUGGGUGGUGACAUGGUCAAAAAGAGUGUGAUACAAUGGAAUACUACUUGGCAAUGAGAAAGAAUGAAAUAUGGCCUUUUGUAGCAACGUGAUGGAACCGGAGAGUGUUCUGCUAAGUGAAACAAGUCAUAAAGAGAAAGAUACCAUAUGUUUUCACUCUUGUGUGGAUCCUGAGAAACUUACCAGAAAGAAGACCAAGGGGGAGGGGAAAGAAAAGAAAAGUUAGAGAAGGAGGGAGGAAAACCAUAAGAGACUCUUAAAUACAGAGAACAAACUGAGGGUUGAUGCGGGGUGGGGGAGAGGGGAAGGUGGGUGAUGGGCAUGGAGGAGGGCACCUGUUGGGGUGAGCACUGGGUGUUGUAUGGAAACAAAUGUGACAAUAAAUUUCAUAUUAAAAAAAUAGGCAAAAAAAAAGUGUGAUAAUUUAAUCACAUGAGGCUGAGCUGCCAGAGUGGACUCUGACAGAUAGGAAGCAAAUCAGUUUAUAUAUAUAUAUACUCUGAUCUAUUACAAUGUCUGCCUGGUCUCUCAGGGUGAGGAAGGACUGAGGGUAGGUCAAUGAGGUCAGCCGUGGACACAUGAGGGAGAAGGGAUUGACAAGUUGUAAGUUGGCAAACUUUCAUUUUUACAUUUUUGAAAACAGAAAUACUAACAGUAAGCAGUUUGCUCAAAAUCACAGCUAUUUAAUGAGCAAAUCAGAGCCACUCUACCAGGAAUACACGAAAACCCUAUUUAGGUAGCUCUCAUCAUCAAAUAAAUGUGAUUUUGUACUUACGUUCAGAAAGUUGGUAAUAGAGCUACUGAGUCCUGGCUUUGCCCCCAACUGUCUGUGUAACAAUGGGCAAUUUAUUGGGCUUUAUGUCAGUUUGGGUUCCCUAAGAAGCAGACACUGAGGUGGGGUUAGCUGUGCCGGGGAUCUACUGGAGGCAGAUGUCUGGGACCGAUAAAGUAACGAAGCGGUGAAGAAGGUGGGUGGAGGGGGGAGUGAAAUACAAGGCUGACGUGGGAAAGAAGAAAGGAAAGUGGAGUGAAGUUUGCCAUUCAGUCGAAAGCAGAGAUUCCUGCCAGGUGAAUCCAGAGCUGGGCAGGGGCAGACAGCCCUGGGGGCCCUGCAGUGCUCCAUCACUGACUGGGAACAACUCACAGAGAUCACCGAGAGCAGGGCACUGGGGCAUAAAUACCGUGUUCGGGGGACUGGGGGAGAGGAGCCAGCAGUUUGGCGGCUGGAGGCUGUCAGCCGGCCACCUUCCUUGCAGCCAGCGCUCUUGAAGCGAGGCCUGAGUGGCGUACCUCCAUGGCCACCCCAGAUCUGGUCUCAUUUACAAUUUAAAAACUUUUAAAAUUGAGGUGAAUUUCACCUAGCAUGUAAUUAACCAUUUUAAAGUGUAUAAUUUAGCGGUAUUUAGUACAUUCACAAUGUUGUGCAACCAGCACCUCUAUCUCAUUCCAAAACGUUUUCAUCCCCCACAAAGGAGACCCUGUACCUAUUAAACGGUUUCUCCCCGUUUCCCCUCCCUCCUAGUCCCUGGCAACGACUAAUGUACUUUCUGUCUUUAUGGGUUUUCUCAUUAUCGGCAUUUUAUACAAAUGGAAUCAUACAAUAUGUGAUGUUUUGUAUCCAGUUUGUUUAGCAUAAUGUUUUUGGAGCAUGUGUUAGUACUUUGUACAUUUUUAUGGCUGAAUAAUAUUCCAUUAUACGGUUACACCACAUUUUGUUUAUCCAUUUAUUGAUUGAUGGAAAUCUGGGUUAUUUCCAAAAACUGUUUUGAGUAAUGCUGCUAUAGCCAUUUGUGUGCAUAGAUUUGUUUCCGUAUCCAUGUUCAAGUCUAUGGGGUAUAUAUCUAGUAGUGAAAUUCCUGGGUUAUAAGGUAAUACUAUGUUUAGCUUUUUCAUGAACCACCAAACUGCUUUCCCAGCUCAUAAGUCUCACUCCUGUCAUCUAUGCAAUAGGGUACACAAAAGACCCCACCUCCUAGGAUUGUUGUAGAGAGUUAAGGAGAAAAUGCUUGUGGAACAUUGAGCACACAACAGAAGUAAAUGCCUCCCAAUGAUACUUGUCAUUUGUAAUGGAUACUGAAGUAAACUUACUUCAUAUAUAUAUAUAUAUAUAUAUAUAUAUAUAUAUAUAUAUAAUAGCUUCAUGGAUAUAUUUUUUCUAAAUACUGAAGAUGUGACGUUAAGAAUAUUCUUUACUCUUGGGCACCUGGGUGGCUCAGUGGGUUAAGAGUCCCAUUCUUGGUUUCGGCUCAGGUCGUGAUCUCCCAGUUCAUGAGUUCAAACCCUGCAUUGAGCUCUGCACUGACAGUGCGGAGCCUGCUUGGGAUUUUCUCUUCUCUGUCUCCCUCUCUCUACCCUUCCCUUGCUUGUGUUCUCUCUCUCUCUCUCUCUCUCUCAAAAAUAAGUAAAUUGAUUUAAAAAAAAAAGACUACUCUCAAAGACAAAUGGAACCUGUUUUGACUUGGCUUACUGCAGUUUGUGAAAGCAAAGAGCCAUCAGGAUUAAAAGCAUGAUCGUAGCUUGUGUCUGUGGGUUUCUACUGGGGAUGUUUGUGGGACCUUCUCUCAUUAGUGACCACACUCUCUGCAAAUAAUUCCUUCCCAGCAGGGCCAUCCUUGAAAUACCAUUUUAGUUUGUUAUACUAGUCACUGCCUCUCACGUGUCACCAAAUUUGGGCAAACUCUCGCAGACUCUCAUUUUGACACCUAUUUUUUUAAGGGGGCAGGGAAAGGAGAUUUAAAAAAUAUCAGUCAUCACUGGGCAGGGAGAGAGAGAAAGAGAAUAGAAGACUAAUUGUUCCACAAGCGGCUUGGGGAGAGCAGGGGAACGGAGUCACUCACAGUGAGAUGUCCCGGUGACUGGUGUGGUUUACUGAGGAACGUAGUCUGGUUUCUUUGCAGGUAUUGAAAAUGCUUAAAACAAUACCAAAAGUAUCUCACCUAGUUCCUGACCUCUCAGAACCUUUGCCUCAGUCACAGUGAUUACUGAUACCAUGACAAUGUAAGUCAUGACUCCUCUGGUGGACAGUUUUCCUUGCUUGUUUACUUAUGGAGUUGUGUCCCAAUCAAUGUUUGGCAUAUAGAAGGUGCUGCACGAAUAGGUUUUAAACAAAUGUCUCCAUUGACGAUUGCCAUUGCCUCUCCUUGGCAUCUGUCACUUACCGGGAGUUGGUUUCGAGUAGUCAUGAAGUACUUGGGCUGUGGUUUUGGACUUGGUGGGUUUGAAUUCUGGAACUACCACUUAGGAGUUGUGUGAUUUGGGGCAGUUUGCUCAGGGUACAAAGGAAGAUAAUAUCAGUCUCUCUUAAGAGAUGUGGG
Molecule: RNA transcript, 6791 nt
Organism: Acinonyx jubatus (cheetah)
Lineage: Eukaryota; Metazoa; Chordata; Mammalia; Carnivora; Felidae
Gene name: cytosolic beta-glucosidase
Exons: 7
Source: RefSeq, a predicted model, not a curated record